UUGCUCUGAUGACAUUCUUAGGACACCUUUGGAUUAAUUGUGAAAAUAAACUUGUAUUCUGAGCAAC
This is a small nucleolar RNA of Tachyglossus aculeatus (Australian echidna), 67 nucleotides long. RefSeq annotates it as small nucleolar RNA SNORD58. NCBI's taxonomy places the organism in Eukaryota, Metazoa, Chordata, Mammalia, Monotremata, Tachyglossidae. The transcript has a single exon. The record is from RefSeq and is a predicted model, not a curated record.